UCCGGCUUGUCACCGGCAGUUUCUUCAGAGUCCCCGACAUUACUCGCUGGCAACAUAGGACGAGGGUUGCGCUCGUUGCGGGACUUAACCCAACAUCUCACGACACGAGCUGACGACAGCCAUGCACCACCUGUGCAGAGCCCUUGCGGACCCGACAUCUCUGCCGGAUUUCUCUGCAUGUCAAGCCUUGGUAAGGUUCUUCGCGUUGCGUCGAAUUAAGCCACAUGCUCCGCCGCUUGUGCGGGCCCCCGUCAAUUCCUUUGAAUUUUAGCCUUGCGGCCGUACUCCCCAGGCGGGGCGCUUAAUGCGUUAGCUGCGGCACGGAGGGAGUGGAAGACCCCCCACACCUAGCGCCCAACGUUUACGGCGUGGACUAC
RNAcentral lists this unclassified non-coding RNA (377 nucleotides) under uncultured Frankiales bacterium. Its description in RNAcentral is "contains 16S-23S intergenic spacer region". Lineage: Bacteria; Bacillati; Actinomycetota; Actinomycetes; Frankiales. The record is from RNAcentral.